RNAcentral lists this long non-coding RNA (1293 nucleotides) under Bos indicus x Bos taurus (hybrid cattle). RNAcentral's name for it is "lncRNA (ENSBIXG00005005102.1)". Lineage: Eukaryota; Metazoa; Chordata; Mammalia; Artiodactyla; Bovidae. The record is from RNAcentral.
GGAAGCCCCCGGGGCCCCGGCGGCCGCGGGGUCUCGGGGCGGCCCGCCCGCGCCGAGCUGCCCGCGGGCGCCUUUGUGUCCGGAUCUGGGUGAACGAAACCGCCACCGUUUUGCUCUCGCGUCCGAGUUCCCUUUUCAGAUUCCCCCCAACCCCACCCCCACCCCGCUCCCCGCCCGGGAGCCGGGAGGCCACAGCCGAGGCUUCAUCGCUAAAAAGUAGACGCGGGCCCCGCCACCCCUACCCCGCCUCCGGAAGUGCCGGUCCCCGCCACCCACCCCAGGCAGAAAACAAUCCUUCUAUGAAGAACCUAAUGCCAGGCUUGUGGUACUCAGCGCCCUGCGGUGACUCCCGGGCUAGCUUCCUUGAAGCCUGUAAAGGACUCUCACUGGUUCUUCAUCCCCCUUCUGAGCAGAGUAGCCCAGCGAGACAAAGGGAUGUCUCCCCUGCGAGGGUCCAGGCUCCCGAGACGGAAGGGUCUUUUACGGAUCAUCUCUGAAGAAAUGGAAGCUCCAGAAAGAUAAAUACCUUCUUCCAAGUCACGCCGCCUGUAAAUGGCUGAGUCGGGACGAGGAGGAAGGGAACCAACAUGGGUACCGCACCUACUCCGCGUCCAAGAGCCUCACAGAAGUCGUCUUCGCUCCAUCUGCAGAGGAGAUUCAGGGAGGUUUAGGCACCACGCCGACAUCACGCAGCGAUGAAGAGGCAGGGCUGGCAGUUGGAUGUAGGUCUAGCUGAUUCUUAUAAUCUGUAAUUCUUUUCUUUUAAAAAUAUUUACUUAUUAGGCUGCAAAGGGUCUUAGUUGUGGUCCACCGAAUCAGUGGGGGCAUGUGAAAUUUUUUUUUUUUUUUCCUGGUUGCGGCAUGUGAGAACUAGUUCCUUGACCAGGGAUUGAAGUCGGCCCCCCUGCACUGGGAGUGCCCACUCUUAGCCACUGGACCACCAGGGAAUUCCCAUAAUCUGUAAUUCUUGCUAGACCUUUAUCUGUCUGGUUCACACGUGUCUCCCCAACAUCGAGGGAAUGAAUGAAGGAAUCAAGCUCUUUCCAGUCUCCCACACCUCCAUCCAGAUUCACCCUGAUCAAAGUUAACAGACCCUAGGGGCGAUUACACGGUUGCCAUGGUAACCGAACUUUAGAAGUAAGUGCUUCAGGCAACCCAGGACAAAACCAGUGAACCCUUCUCUCUCUGCAAUAAUUACAGCUUUUCUGUCCAAGCCGACAAAGGUUAACACAAAGCAGCAAAGAGGAGAGAGUCCCUGAUGACAAUAAAGUCAUACUUUAUUGCUCUUGACCA